RNAcentral lists this non-coding RNA (21 nucleotides) under Arabidopsis thaliana (thale cress). The record is from RNAcentral. Lineage: Eukaryota; Viridiplantae; Streptophyta; Magnoliopsida; Brassicales; Brassicaceae.
UGUGGUAGAUGCAACUCUUUU